CCUACGGGCGGCAGCAGUGAGGAAUAUUGGUCAAUGGACGCAAGUCUGAACCAGCCAUGCCGCGUGCAGGAAGACGGCUCUAUGAGUUGUAAACUGCUUUUGUACGAGGGUAAACGCAGAUACGCGUAUCUGUCUGAAAGUAUCGUACGAAUAAGGAUCGGCUAACUCCGUGCCAGCAGCCGCGGUAAUACGGAGGAUUCAAGCGUUAUCCGGAUUUAUUGGGUUUAAAGGGUGCGUAGGCGGUCGGAUAAGUUAGAGGUGAAAUCCCGAGGCUCAACUUCGGAAUUGCCUCUGAUACUGUUCGGCUAGAGAGUAGGUGCAGUAGGCGGAAUGUAUGGUGUAGCGGUGAAAUGCUUAGAGAUCAUACAGAACACCGAUUGCGAAGGCAGCUUACCAAGCUACUUCUGACGUUGAGGCACGAAAGCGUGGGGAGCGAACAGGAUUAGAUACCCUGGUAGUC
RNAcentral lists this ribosomal RNA (460 nucleotides) under uncultured bacterium. RNAcentral's name for it is "partial 16S ribosomal RNA". It matches the Rfam family "Bacterial small subunit ribosomal RNA", at positions 338 to 795 of the family's 1533-position model. The record is from RNAcentral.